Long non-coding RNA from Hydra vulgaris (swiftwater hydra), 915 nucleotides. RefSeq lists it as uncharacterized. The record is from RefSeq and is a predicted model, not a curated record. NCBI's taxonomy places the organism in Eukaryota, Metazoa, Cnidaria, Hydrozoa, Anthoathecata, Hydridae.
GUUUUGUCAUCAUCAAUCUAAAAUUAUUGAAGUUCUCUUUGUCCAAAAAUUUUUGCAAGAAACUCCGGUUUAGCUGCAUGAUUGUUGGUUAUCUUGGCAGGGCCGCCAAGAUGGAGGGGCAAAUGAGGUAUACGUGCCCCGGGCGUCAAGAUAAUUUGGGCGCUAGAUCGUGAAGGACAAAUUUUCAUUUGUGUAUACAGUGUCUUUUUGUUUCUAAAUCGGAUCUAUAUUAUAAGGUAUCAUUUUUACACAAUCCUUUGAUGCUUAAUUAAAGAAGUAAAAUUAUUAGACAUUACUCAAAAUAAAAUAAACCAGAUUACAGAUUUUAAAUAUUUUCAACAAUGCUCUAGAAAAGGCAUCAGCAGCAGACAUCUUACAAUGCUUUUUCAGUUUAUUGCAGAUCAAAUAGAGCGCCCACUCUCAUAAGGCACAUAAGACGCGGGCUUAAAUUUAGGGCAAAAUCUCCACUCCUUUUUUUUUAAUAUUCUGUGUUGAUCCUAUAGAAAGUAAAGUAUGACGAAAUAGUGGGAAAAAAAUACGCUGUAUCUAUAAUUAGUAUUUUUAUAGUUGGUUAAUCUACCAAUUGAUAAUUGAUAAUUUAGCUAAUUUUUUGUAAAUAUUAAUACUUUUCUUUAUAUAUUUUGUUUUGUAUAAAUAAAUUGAUUUCCAGUUAAUUCAUGUGGCAUAUUUUGUUCCUUUAUAAUUCGAUUACUUUUUUUAGAUUAAUCAGGUUACAUGUUUGUUCAAUAUAUACAUACAAUUGAAAACUAUUAAAAAUUGUUAUGUUUUCUUAAUUUGUUAAUAAAUGUGUAAAUAAAAAUAUCCUUGAUUAUACAAAGCUAUGAGGCAUUUUUUUGAAACCACAAUCCGUCAUGAUUUGUAUUUUAUCUGUGUAAACGAGAGUCUUUGCAAAUA